UCUCCUAUAGUGUAAUGGUAGCAUAUAAGGCUCAUGAUCUUAUGGUGAUAGUUCAAAUCUAUCUAGGGGGUAA
This is a non-coding RNA of Boothiomyces macroporosus, 73 nucleotides long. The record is from the annotation of a GenBank genome assembly. Lineage: Eukaryota; Fungi; Chytridiomycota; Chytridiomycetes; Rhizophydiales; Terramycetaceae.